UGAAAGCUGGUACCUCCGGUAUCCGCGUUGUAACCUCGAGACACGUUUUCCGUGCGGCGCUAUGGACAAGUUCCUUGGAACAGGACAUCGUAGAGGGUGAAAAUCCCGUACUUGCCAUGGAUGUACCGUGCUUUGCGAUACUUGCUCUAAAAGUCAAGUUGUUGGGGAUUGCAGCUCAAAAGGGGGGGUAGACUCCAUCUAAAGCUAAAUAUCGGGGAAAGACCGAUAGCGAACAAGUACCGGGAGGGAAAAAUGAAAAGCACUUUGGAAAAAAAGUUAAAAGUACGUGAAAUUGUCGAAAGGGAACCGCUUGAAGUCAACCAUGCCGCUCAGGACUCAGCCUGGCUUUUGCUUGGUGUAUUUCCUGGGUAGCAAGUCAGCAUUGGUUUGGAUCGUCGGAGAAGCAUAGUCGGAAUGUGGCGCCCUCGGGCGGGUUAUAGCCUUCUAUUGGAUACGACGAUCUAGACCAAGGAACGCAGCGCGCCUUAUGGCGGGUCUUCGGACACCUUCGCGCUUACGA
RNAcentral lists this ribosomal RNA (520 nucleotides) under Malassezia furfur. RNAcentral describes it as "LSU rRNA". It matches the Rfam family "Eukaryotic large subunit ribosomal RNA", at positions 116 to 612 of the family's 3401-position model. Lineage: Eukaryota; Fungi; Basidiomycota; Malasseziomycetes; Malasseziales; Malasseziaceae. The record is from RNAcentral.